This 1041-nucleotide ribosomal RNA is filed under the name Thelebolus globosus. RNAcentral's name for it is "eukaryotic LSU rRNA". It matches the Rfam family "Eukaryotic large subunit ribosomal RNA", at positions 1 to 967 of the family's 3401-position model. The record is from RNAcentral. Lineage: Eukaryota; Fungi; Ascomycota; Leotiomycetes; Thelebolales; Thelebolaceae.
AAAUCAGUGGCGGUGCCAUUUGGCUUCAAGCGUAGUAAUUCUUCUCGCUUUGGAGAUCCAGGUGGUUACUUGCCAAUAACCCCCAAUUUUUCAGGUUGACCUCGGAUCAGGUAGGGAUACCCGCUGAACUUAAGCAUAUCAAUAAGCGGAGGAAAAGAAACCAACAGGGAUUACCUCAGUAACGGCGAGUGAAGCGGUAACAGCUCAAAUUUGAAAUCUGGCAGCAAUGUCCGAGUUGUAAUUUGUAGAGGAUGUUUCGAGCAUGGUCUGGCCUAAGUUCCUUGGAACAGGACGUCAUAGAGGGUGAGAAUCCCGUAUGCGGUCAGGUGCCUACGCUCAUGUGAAACUCCUUCGACGAGUCGAGUUGUUUGGGAAUGCAGCUCAAAAUGGGUGGUAAAUUUCAUCUAAAGCUAAAUAUUGGCCAGAGACCGAUAGCGCACAAGUAGAGUGAUCGAAAGAUGAAAAGCACUUUGGAAAGAGAGUUAAACAGUACGUGAAAUUGUUGAAAGGGAAGCGCUUGCAACCAGACUUGCACGCAGCUGAUCAUCCGCUGUUCUCAGUGGUGCACUCGGUUGCGUUCAGGCCAGCAUCGGUUUUGGUGGUGGGAUAAAGGCCUUAGGAAUGUAGCUGCUUUCGGGCAGUGUUAUAGCCUAGGGUGCAAUGCCGCCUACUGGGACCGAGGACCGCGCUUCGGCUAGGAUGCUGGCGUAAUGGUUGUAAGCGACCCGUCUUGAAACACGGACCAAGGAGUCUAACAUCUAUGCGAGUGUUUGGGUGUCAAACCCAUACGCGUAAUGAAAGUGAACGGAGGUCAGAACCCUUAAGGGUGCAUGAUCGACCGGUCCUGAAGUCUUCGGAUGGAUCUGAGUAAGAGCAUAGCUGUUGGGACCCGAAAGAUGGUGAACUAUGCCUGAAUAGGGUGAAGCCAGAGGAAACUCUGGUGGAGGCUCGCAGCGGUUCUGACGUGCAAAUCGAUCGUCAAAUUUGGGUAUAGGGGCGAAAGACUAAUCGAACCAUCUAGUAGCUGGUUCCUGCCGAAUU